CUGGCAACUUGGAGAAGUGGCAAGUCUUCCAGUAUGGGGAGCAAAACAGCUAUGGGUCAAGUCCGAUAUCUUUAGGAGAAGUCUUAUUGUGAGGGCGAGUUAUAUAACACCAUAGGACUGGCGUCCCAUAUGAAAAGAUUAUAUUAGAAUUGAAUGAAGCUUUGUUUAUAUAUUGAUAAUGACAGUAUAUAUAUCGUGUCUUGACUAAUUGCGUGCCAGCAGUCGCGGUAAUACGUAAGAGACUAGUGUUAUUCAUCUUAAUUAGGUUUAAAGGGUACCCAGACGGUCAAUAUAGCUUAUAAAAUGUUAGUACUUGACUAGAGUUUUAUGUAAGAGGGCAGUACUUGAGGAGGAGAGAUGAAAUUUCGUGAUACCAAAGGGACUCUGUAAAGGCGAAGGCAGCCCUCUAUGUAAAAACUGACGUUGAAGGACGAAGGCACAGAGAACAAACAGGAUUAGAUACCCAAGUAGUCUUUGCAGUAAAUGAUGAAUGCCAUAGGUUAGAUUGAUCAAUUAUAGUCUAGGGUUAGUCUAGCAAACUAAUGCCCUAUGAUAUAAUUCAAAAUAUCUGGUCUAUAAAUGAAAGUGUAAGCAUUUCACCUCAAGAGUAAUGUGGCAACGCAGGAACUGAAAUCACUAGACCGUUUCUGACACCAGUA
RNAcentral lists this ribosomal RNA (659 nucleotides) under Fusarium oxysporum f. sp. vasinfectum. RNAcentral's name for it is "SSU rRNA". It matches the Rfam family "Bacterial small subunit ribosomal RNA", at positions 45 to 931 of the family's 1533-position model. Lineage: Eukaryota; Fungi; Ascomycota; Sordariomycetes; Hypocreales; Nectriaceae. The record is from RNAcentral.